RNAcentral lists this long non-coding RNA (1268 nucleotides) under Sorghum bicolor (sorghum). Its description in RNAcentral is "long non-coding RNA (SBIC_LNC010645)". The record is from RNAcentral. Lineage: Eukaryota; Viridiplantae; Streptophyta; Magnoliopsida; Poales; Poaceae.
UUAAAAGAUAGAACGGUCUAGUCAAGCUCCAUGUCUCUUAUUCUUGAUCAGCUAUAGCUCGAGAGUUUUUGUAGAUUUUCAAAUAAAACUCAGAGAUUCCUUGUAUGACUCUCUCAUAUCUCUCUUUUGUGGUAUUUCUGGAUCCUUACCAAGGCAGUGAUGGUAUAUGCCUUCUCUCAAAAUAUGUAGUAUUUGUGGUAUAAGGCAUAGUGACAUUGCCUUCUGUCUCAUCCUACUCUAAUAAGGCUUUGAUAUCUAGAGCUCAUAGGUGGGAGAUAAAGUAUACAUACUUACAAGACAUUUAUUGCAUAGUCAAACCAUGGAUCUAGAGAAACAAGUCAAUAAGUCAAAUCAAGAUGUGCAUGUGUGGCGAAUGAAUGGUGUAUGGUGAUGAUGGUGAUAACAAUGGUGAAAGUCCAAUUCUACUUGUGCUCUUUUUAGGGGAUACAUACCUUUCUUGCUCUUUUGAAACUUUUUGAGGAGAAUGAGAUGCUCUAUAUUUUCUUUUUCUUUCCUCUCAGGUGGGUAUUUUGUACCCCUAAUUCUACUGUCGAACACUUGUCCAUUUUUACCACUCGUCUCACUUUUUUCUUUUCUUUCCAGGUUCUGGGCACUUGCCCCUUUUUAUUUCCUCGUAUCCUUUCUUUUUUUUAGAGCACUCAUCUCCUGAAAUAAUAUAGCAAGUGGUAGUAACCAAGAUAACUUGAGCAUUUAUUUCACAGAGAAAAAUAGAAAUAGGAGAAUGUUUUUGGCUAUUCUCUCCCAGAUUAGGAGUAGAAUACUUUUGGGUGGUUCUGGAGAUGGAAAUGAGUGGAUAUAUGUGGAUGCGUACUUCCGGAGUAGAAGCAGCAUGUGUGAGUGAACAUGCAAGUGAAUCUUGAUUUUAAUCGCAUGACAAGCUCCUAAGGGUCUACACCGCUUGACCACACUCAAUGCUCAUAGGCAGUAAAAAGUAAAUGUGUGGCUCAAAGUCUAGCAAGCAUGUAUAUAUGGCUGUGGUUGGAAUUUAAACUCUUAUCAUACAGGAACUCAUUGUUGAUGGUCCUUAAGUAUCAAAUUUAAUUAUCAAAUAAAUAAAGAAAGGGAUCCAAAUACAACCAACAUCCAAACUUAGGGUUUUAUCUGACAGAAUUCCACGAGUUUUGGUGUUUGUCUAUUUCUGCAGGGGGUUAUCAGGAAAUACGGAAGAAAGGCCCACACGUCGGGAUUACAUAGAGAUAUUAACGUGUCGUGCAAUUAUCUUACAUCUAGAAGACUCCAGAAGCCAC